CGGGACGUGGCGCAGCUUGGUCAGCGCGCCGCGUUCGGGACGCGGAGGCCGCCGGUUCGAGUCCGGCCAGCCCGAC
This 76-nucleotide transfer RNA is filed under the name Phytohabitans rumicis. RNAcentral describes it as "tRNA-Pro". It matches the Rfam family "tRNA". From Rfam's summary of the family: Transfer RNA (tRNA) molecules are approximately 80 nucleotides in length. Their secondary structure includes four short double-helical elements and three loops (D, anti-codon, and T loops). Lineage: Bacteria; Bacillati; Actinomycetota; Actinomycetes; Micromonosporales; Micromonosporaceae. The record is from RNAcentral.